This 563-nucleotide ribosomal RNA is filed under the name Xylaria schweinitzii. Its description in RNAcentral is "eukaryotic LSU rRNA". It matches the Rfam family "Eukaryotic large subunit ribosomal RNA", at positions 62 to 648 of the family's 3401-position model. The record is from RNAcentral. Lineage: Eukaryota; Fungi; Ascomycota; Sordariomycetes; Xylariales; Xylariaceae.
AAACCAACAGGGAUUGCCCUAGUAACGGCGAGUGAAGCGGCAACAGCUCAAAUUUGAAAUCUGGCCUUCGGGUCCGAGUUGUAAUUUGUAGAGGAUGCUUUUGGCGCGGUGCCUUCCGAGUUCCCUGGAAUGGGACGCCUUAGAGGGUGAGAGCCCCGUAUGGUUGGACACCAAGCCUCUGUAAAGCUCCUUCGACGAGUCGAGUAGUUUGGGAAUGCUGCUCUAAAUGGGAGGUAAAUUUCUUCUAAAGCUAAAUAUUGGCCAGAGACCGAUAGCGCACAAGUAGAGUGAUCGAAAGAUGAAAAGCACUUUGAAAAGAGGGUUAAAUAGCACGUGAAAUUGUUGAAAGGGAAGCGUUUGCGACCAGACCUUUUCGUAGCGGAUCAUCCGGUGUUCUCACCGGUGCACUUCGCUUCGUUUAGGCCAGCAUCGGUUUCUGUAGGGGGAUAAAAGCUUGGGGAACGUAGCUCCCUCGGGAGUGUUAUAGCCCCUCGCAUAAUACCCUUAUGGGGACCGAGGACCGCGCUUUAUGCAAGGAUGCUGGCGUAAUGGUCGUCAACGAC